CGCGCAGAGUCAUAAAUUACACGUAAUUUCACAGAGAAUCAUUAUCAUUUUUUUUCUCAGGCAUGCCGCUUUUGUCACACACACCGGCAAUGGGUAAGAGAUAACAGGAGCAUACUGUUUGCAUUUUUCAAGUGCUUUUCACAUAUUUAAAAAGCAUGCUCAGAUUUAUUAACUAAUGCAGUGCUUCAUGUAUUUAGCGGCCUCCCCACGGUAUUUCUGGAAGAUGUAUUGAACCAGUAGAUUGUUUCCUCUCAGAUCCCGCUGAGACUUGUUCAAGGAAUUCUAAGAUAUUUACAGUAAAUUAGAGGCUAAUUAGUUGAAAUGAAAUGCUACCACCUGGUCCUCCAUCAUUUAAAAAAUGGGGAGGGUGGGGGGAGAGAGACGACAUGAGGAUUUUGCAAAUGGAUCUGAUAUUUCAGGACUUGGCUUCCUUCCUCCAAAGGCUUUUAAUCAUAUCAAAAAUGUUGCCUGCAUUAUUAGGGUUCUCAGUGUAUCGGUUUCCCUUAAUUUUAUUUUUCCCCUUCCAGGGGACGGAGAGUCUUUAUUGUAUUAACAUUCUGGUAAUCAAGGCCAACCACAUUUAUGAUUCCUGCUACGGCAUUAAAAAUGCAUGUCCCAUUCAGAUUCUAUAAAUCUCAGAUUGGAGGAGGAAAUGAGCAGUUUAGAUGAUAAUUGAGUUGUAAGGAUCAGCAGAGGUUUGGUUUCCCCUUGUGCAAAGAGGAGGUUCAUCUCAGGUUUUACUCGACAGCUAUUAUUCCUUUCAAUAUGCUCACUAAAAAAACAUGUGCAAGAAGUUCUUCAAUUCUUCUUCCUGUAAGAGAAUAUUAUUUUCUGCUUGGAAAUGUACCUUUCUCCUAUGCUGGCUGGCAAAAGGGAGAUGACAAAACGGAUGUUCUGCUCUUAAUCUAAACAGUUUCUGAAACCACCUAAACAUUUCUUAUGUAGCUUUGGAACUGGUCUGACAUACUUGACAUAAACCAAGCACUGAGUACUGGAAAGGUUAAUGAUGGAGAUGGUACCCCUAAACAGGCAUUGUUGAUAAUAAUAAUAAUAAUAAUAAUAAUAAUAAUAAUAAUAAUAAUAAUAACAAUAAUAAUAAUAAUAAUAAUAAUAAUAAUAAUUUAUUAUUUAUACCCCGUCCAUCUGGCUGAGUUUCCCCAGCCACUCUGGGCGGCUCCCAAUCAAGUUUUAAAACAGUACAGUGUUACAUAUUAAAAACUUCCCUGAACAGGGCUGCCUUAAGAUGUCUUCUGAAUGUCAGGUAGUUGUUUAUCUCUUUGACAUCUAAUGGGAGGGCAUUCCACAGGGCGGGUGCCACUACCGAGAAGGCCCUCUGUCUAGUUCCCUGUAGCCUCACUUCUCACAAUUAGGGAACCGCCAGAAGGCCCUCGGCGCUGGAUCUCAGUGUCCGGGCUGAACGAUGGGGGUGGAGACGCUCCUUCAGGUCACAUGUGUAGGUCACAUGUGUAGGGGGCAUGCAGGGGGCAUCUGCUUGCCCCCCAACACGCCAUGCAUGCUGCCUCCAUCCACUCCACUCCCAAUCUCCCCAGGUGCCAAGCCAACAAGGGGGCACAAAAUUGAGAAGAUCUAUAAUUGAGAAGAUCCAUGUGAGGGUCUCACGCAGGCAGCCAUAUUACAAAAGAUUACCCAAAUCUGCCCCUGCAUGUGUGUGUGUAUCACGUGGGAAGACAGGCGAACGGGUGGCAAUGUGUUCUAAACCCACUGAGCCUCUUGGGCUUGCUGAUUGGAAGGUCGGCGGUUCGAAUCUCUGCGAUGGGGUCAGCUCCCGUUGCUCUGUCCCAGCUCCUGACAACCUAGCAGUUCAAAAGCAUUCCAGUGCAAGUAGAUAAAUAGGUACCACUGCGGUGGGAAGAUAAACAGCGUUUCCGUGUGCUCUGACACCCGUCACGGUCCUCCAUGCGUCAGUAGCAGUUUAGUCAAGCUGGCCACAUGACCCGGAAAACUGUCUGUGGACAAACGCCGGCUCCCUUGGCCUGAAAGCAAGAUGAGCACUACAACCCCAUAGUCGCCUUUGACUGGACUUAACCGUCCAGGGGUCCUUUACCUUCUACUGGAAGAAGCAAAGAUGACCAGUGUCGAAGCAAGAUUCUUCAACAUCAACUUCCUUGGACUGGUCGUGUUGUCAGAUGCCUGAUUAUUUUCUUCCAAAGCAACUACUCUGUUAACUUAAGAAUGGAGAGUAAACCAAACUGUCUGCACAAUAACUUAUUGGUUAGCUUUUGAAUGUUGGAAUAACUACUGAAUCUUCAAUCUUUCUUACAUAAAGUUUUUGAACCAGUCUGGGGGGGAAAAAAGAAUGGAGAGCGUAAUGCUGGUGGUCAACAAAAGACGUUUAAAGACAUCUCAAGGCAAAUCUUUAAAAAUGUACUAUAGACACCAAUAACUGGGAAACACUGGCCUGCGAGUGCUCCAGUUGGAGAACAGCCUUUACCAAAGGUGUCAUGGGCUUUGAAAACGCUCAAACUCAGGAUGAAAGGGAGAAACGUGCUAAGAGGAAGGCACGCUUGGCAAACUCUCACCUUGACCAACUCCCACCCGGAAACCUAUGUCCCCACUGUGGAAGGACGUGUGGAUCCAGAAUUGGCUUCCACAGCCACUUACGGACUCACUGUUAAGACCGUGUUCAUGGAAGACAACCUUACUUGGCUAUGAGUGAUAAUUGAAGAAGAAGAAAAAGUACUGAAUGGAAUUACGGUUCAGGGAUAUCAAGAUGACAGGUGAUUAAAUCCGAGAAACAGAUUGUGUAGAAAUCACCAGAUUUUAUCACACUGUUUUCCUUUUCCACUGAAAAAGUCAGUGUCCCUUUGUCAGAGAUCUGUCUCUUUGUGCCAUUGUCUUGGGUUUUUGGAUAUAACAAUAGUAAUAGUAAUAAUAAUAGUAGUAGUAAGAAUAAAGUAGCGGAGAGCUUUGUUAUUCUAAUGUUCAAUGGUGUUUCGUUUCACUUCUGCAGGACCUUUCCUCAUGUCAACAAAAUAUAACUUGAGUGACAGAAAACUGCCACAGAGAAGGCCUUCUCUUGCACCAGUAUCACCACCCCUGAAUUUCUGAAGGUGAAGGAACUGCCAAGAGGUGAAGGAACUGCCAAUAUUAGCACCCAGGACAGUCUGCAGGAAGGAGAGGGUCUUCCAGGUCUUACCCCUUCUCUCUGCACAGUGUACCUUGGUUGUCGAACUUAAUCCGUUUUAGGAGUCCGUUUGACUCCCAGAACAGUUCAAAAACCAAGGCGCAGCUUCUGAUUUGCUGUGGGAGCUUCCUGCACUCAAUUGGAAGCCGUGGAAGUCCCGUCGGACCUUCGGCUUCCAAAGAACAUUCAAACAUUUGGUUUCCAAAGAAUAUUCGAAAACCGGAACACUUCCUUCUGGGUUUUCGGCGUUCGGUAGUCAAGACGUACAAGUACUAAGGCGUUCGAGAACCCACGACUGUACUGUAUAUCUAUACCUACAGAUACUGAAUAUAUAUAUAUAUAUAUAUAUAUAUAUGCCAAAUUUCAGGGGGAAAACGAAACCAAACAAGAGCAGAACACAUUGCUGUGACGUCCAUGCACAAAUUCCAUAGCAGCCCGGCUGUUUAGCUACAAAUUAUUAUCUAACAUGGAAAGUUCCAUUAUUUAGCCCAUAAAAUCUGGCGCAUGAACAUUCACACUCUUAGCAUGGAAGGUUUUGCCUCGGGUUUAAUUGUUUCUGAUAGGCGCCAGCUCAAACAUUUACAGUUGUAGAGCCUGAGGUCUCCUGUUCUGUAGCACCAUUGAAAUUUGAAUCAAUGGCUCCUAAAUUUUUAAUGAAACAAUAAACUCCCCUUAAUGUUUUAAUGUAAAAUUUCUUUUCAUCCUAUGUGCCUGAAGUAUCAAUCUCAUAUAUCAAAUAGGUGAAGGGAAUGAAGCAAUUUCCAUGGGUCACGCCGACUUAAGAUGUGACAUGAUUAUGCAGUUACAUCGAAACAACCUCUGCUUUCAACAAUCCUCUACUUGUUCCCCUUUCUCUCUUUUCUGAACCAAGGCUGCAUAUGAAUUCCAUCAAAGCCGUACAAAGCUGCGCUGAUAUCAAUGCUUUACUUAACUCUCCCACUGAGUUUGCGGAAGGGAAGAAUAUACAGUGGUACCUCGGGUUACAGGUGCUUCAGGUUACAGACGCUUCAGGUUACUGACUCCGCUAACCCAGAAAUAGUACCUCGGGUUAAGAACUUUGCUUCAGGAUGAGAACAGAAAUCGCAUGGCGGUAGUGCGGCGGCAGUGGGAGGCCCCAUUAGCUAAAGUGGUACCUCGGGUUAAGAACAGUUUCAGGUUAAGAACAGACCUCCAGAAUGAAUUAAGUUCUUAACCCGAGGUACCACUGUAUAGGAUUGCAUUCCUGUUGCCUCCUUGAAACCAGUGCAACUCCAAGAACAGUGGAGUUACGAACUCUUCUGGUUACGAAUGCUUCAGGUUACAAGCUCCGCUAACCCAGAAGUAGCUGCUCCUAGUUGCGAACUUUGCCCAGGAUACGAAUGGAAAUUGCGCACCGGAGUUGCGUGCGCAGUGGGAGGCCCCAUUAGCAAAAUAAAUAAACAUUAUACAGUGGUACCUUGGGUUACAGACACUUCAUGUUACAGACUCCGCUAACCCAGAAAUAGUACCUCGGGUUAAGAACUUUGCUUCCGGAUGAGAACAGAAAUCACGCAGCAGCAGCAGGAGGCCCCAUUAGCUAAAGUGGUACUUCAGGUUAAGAACAGUUUCAGGUUAAGAACGGAGCUCGAGAAUGAAUUAAGUUCUUAACCCGAAGUACCACUAUAUUGAGAGAAAUCAAUAUUAAAAUACAGUGGUACCUUGGUUCUCAAACUUAAUCCGUUCCGGAAGUCCGUUCGACUUCCAAAGCGUUCUAAAACCAAGGCGCGCUUUCCCAUAGAAAGUAAUGCAAAAUGGAUUAAUCUGUUCCAGACUGUUAAAAACAACCCCUAAAACAGGAAUUUAACAUGAACUUUACUGCGUUCCACACAGUCUCAAAAACAAAUUAACUGAAAAAGCCGCCAAAACAAAAACACAAAAUAAAUAGCAAAAACAAAAUGCCCAAAUAUAAGCUCCAAAUAUCACCUCCAUGUCACGUGGGUGCUCGGGACUCGCCAGCUGACAGACCUCAGUGUAGCACUCAAAUCGGAAGCGUAACACUCAAAUUGGAAGUGUAACACUCAAAUCGGAAGCGUAACACUCAAAACGGAAGGAGAUAAGUAACUAUACAACCUUUAGAAGACAUCUGAAGGCAGCCCUGUAUAGGGAAGGUUUUUUUUAAUGUUUAAUGUUUGAUUGUGUGUUUUAUAUAUGUUGGAAGCCGCCCUGAGUAACUGGGGCAACCCAGGCAGAUGGGCAAGGUAUAAAUAAUAAAAUUAUUAUUAUUAUUAUUAUUAUUAUUAUUAUUAUUAUUAUUGAAUCGGACGUCUAUAUUUUCAUCAUAGAAAUGUUGGAAGGUAUGCCCUUAUCAAACUACAGUUCCCAGAAUUCUUUGGGGGGGGGAGGAAGUCGUGACUUUUCAGAUACUUCUUUAAAUGUGCAGGGUAAUUAGGGCCUAAGAAGAUGAUAACCUCUUGAACUGGUGUCCUCUGUGAAAUCGUAAGAGGUUUACUCAGUUAACACACUUCCCAAAGGUUAAGCCGGGCUUCCUCAACCUCGGCCCUCCAGAUGUUUUGAGACUACAAUUCCCAGCAUCCCUGACCACUGGUCCUGCUAGCUAGGGAUCAUGGGAGCUGUAGGCCAAAAACAUCUGGAGGGCCGAGGUUGAGGAAGCCUGAGUUAGGCCCAAAUAAUUUGUUGUUGUUGUUGUUGUUUAGUCGUUUAGUCGUGUCCGACUCUUCGUGACCCCAUGGAGCAGAGCACGCCAGGCACUCCUGUCUUCCACUGCCUCCCGCAGUUUGGUCAAACUCAUGCUGGUAGCUUCGAGAACGCUGUGCAACCAUCUCGUCCUCUGUCGUCCCCUUCUCCUUGUGCCCUCCAUCUAUCCCAACAUCAGGGUCUUUUCCAGGGAGUCUUCUCUUCUCAUGAGGUGGCCAAAGUACUGGAGCCUCAGCUUCACGAUCUGUCCUUCCAGUGAGCACUCAGGGCUGAUUUCCUUCAGAAUGGAUAGGUUUGAUCUUCUUGCAGUCCAUGGGACUCUCAAGAGUCUCCUCCAGCACCAUAAUGCAAAAGCAUCAAUUCUUCGGCGAUCAGCCUUCUUUAUGGUCCAGCUCUCACUUCCAUACCUCACUACUGGAAAAACCAUAGCUUUAACUAUACGGACCUUUGUUGUCAUGGUGGUGUCUCUGCUUUUUAAGAUGCUGUCUAGGUUUGUCAUUGCUUUUCUCCCAAGAAGCAGGCGUCUUUUAAUUUGCUGCAGCUUUACUAAAUAACAAUAACAAAAUCCUAGCAAUUUACAGGGCUCUGUAUCAUUCAAUGCGCUCAGUCCACUUGUUUGUAGUGAGCCAUAAAAUUCCUCACAAAACUACAGGGGUUUGCUGCCUUUAUGUAAUCCUGUCGGUGUCUCUCAUGGCAAGCUAGCUAGCAAACACGAAAAAAGAAAGGUCAGCCAAAAUGCAGCGGCUUGUCUAGCCAGGGUUUUGCGCAUGUGUGCAAGCCAGAAUGUGUGCUAACAGCUGGAGGGUUGGAGAGAGAGAGGAAAUCCUCACAUUACCCUCCCAAAGUCUCCCAACUAGAGACAUAGACAGAUGACCUGAUCUCUUUGCAGGGUCACUUAUAACACUCGCCUUCUCCUCCAACUGGCGCGCAGAGAAGAUGUCUAAGCUUUCGGAGGAUUUGAAUGUUUAAUCUGGGUUACUCAAAGGACAAGGAAGAUUACGGGAUGAUCCACAACCUGCUUAAGAUCGACCACUUCAGUUUCGGCCGAUUCUGGUCUCGUCGGCGUCAGUGGGUUUCAAAUGAAUGAAAGCCAGGGUCUCUGGCUAUGCUGAACUAAGACUCCGAUGUUUGCACUCAUCGAAAAGUAAUAAUCGAUCUGAUAGCUGGUUGUUGAACUAGUUCAGUUCCAAACAUUAAAAAAACUUGGGUGCUGUGAUUUGCCGUUUUGGACUUUUCAAUAACAUCCAUUCUUUAGGUUGUGUUUAUACUGUCAGAAAGCGACUUCCUUGUUGUUUUAGGUGAUGUUAGAGGUCAAGAAAGAGAGAUUAUAGCUCCAUAGCUGCCCUGAUUGAAAUAACUUUUGCUUG
Molecule: long non-coding RNA, 7185 nt
Filed under: Podarcis lilfordi (Lilford's wall lizard)
Lineage: Eukaryota; Metazoa; Chordata; Lepidosauria; Squamata; Lacertidae
Source: RNAcentral